RNAcentral lists this ribosomal RNA (454 nucleotides) under uncultured bacterium. Its description in RNAcentral is "bacterial SSU rRNA". It matches the Rfam family "Bacterial small subunit ribosomal RNA", at positions 29 to 524 of the family's 1533-position model. The record is from RNAcentral.
AGCGAACGCUGGCGGCGUGCCUAACACAUGCAAGUCGAACGAGACCUUCGGGUCUAGUGGCGCACGGGUGCGUAGCGCGUGGGAAUCUGCCCCUUGGUUCGGAAUAACAGUUAGAAAUGACUGCUAAUACCGGAUGAUGACGAAAGUCCAAAGAUUUAUCGCCGAGGGAUGAGCCCGCGUAGGAUUAGCUAGUUGGUGAGGUAAAGGCUCACCAAGGCGACGAUCCUUAGCUGGUCUGAGAGGAUGAUCAGCCACACUGGGACUGAGACACGGCCCAGACUCCUACGGGAGGCAGCAGUGGGGAAUAUUGGACAAUGGGCGAAAGCCUGAUCCAGCAGUGCCGCGUGAGUGAUGAAGGCCUUAGGUCGUAAAGCUCUUUACCAGGGAUGAUUAUAAAUGACUGUAGUCGGAAAAUAAGCCCCGGGCUAACCUUCGUGCCAGCAGCCGCGGUAAU